This 929-nucleotide non-coding RNA is filed under the name Nyctimystes kubori (sandy big-eyed treefrog). RNAcentral's name for it is "12S ribosomal RNA". It matches the Rfam family "Bacterial small subunit ribosomal RNA". The record is from RNAcentral. Lineage: Eukaryota; Metazoa; Chordata; Amphibia; Anura; Pelodryadidae.
AAAGGUUUGGUCCUGGCCUUGAGAUCAAUUUUUACUUAACUUACACAUGCAAGUAUCCGCCCCCCUGUGAGAACGCCCUUAAUACCCUACUGGGACAAGGAGCCGGUAUCAGGCGCACUAAUAUGCCCAAGACACCUAGCCAUGCCACAUCCACAAGGAACCUCAGCAGUGAUUAACUUUGAAUAUGAGCGCCAGCUCGACUCAGUUAAAGUAUAAAAAGCCGGCAAAUCUGGUGCCAGCCGCCGCGGUUACACCAAGAGGCUUAAAUUGAUUUCAAUCGGCGUAAAGCGUGAUUAAAGUUAAUUAAAACUAAAGUUAAACUAGAACUAAGCCGUAGUACGCUUGUACCUAAGAAUGUCUAAAACGAAAGUUACUUUAAAUUAAACCACUUGAACUCACGACAGUCAGAACACAAACUGGGAUUAGAUACCCCACUAUGUCUGACCGUAAACUUUAAAUUACACCUCAAUCGCCUGGGAACUACGAGCAAAGCUUAAAACCCAAAGGACUUGACGGUACCCCAUAUCCCCCUAGAGGAGCCUGUCCUAUAAUCGAUAAUCCCCGUUUAACCUCACCAUUUUUAGUUUAUCAGCCUGUAUACCUCCGUCGUCAGCUUACCACGUGAGCGAUAUUUAGUAAUCUUAAUGUUUUUACAUCAACACGUCAGGUCAAGGUGCAGCAAAUAAAAUGGAAAGAGAUGGGCUACACUUUCUACAAUAGAAUAUACGAAAGACUACACAUGAAAUUUAGUCAGAAGGCGGAUUUAGUAGUAAAAAGAAACUAGAGAGUUCUUUUUAACCUGGCACUGGGGUGUGUACACACCGCCCGUCACCCUCUUCAAAGCUAAAGAUUAGUAAUAUAACAAACCCAAGCAAAUCAGAAGAGGUAAGUCGUAACAUGGUAAGUAUACCGGAAGGUGUGCUUGGAAA